GGCCGCGUGGCCCAAUGGCAAGGCGCUUGACUACGAUUCCAUUAGGAAUCAAGAGAUUCCAGGUUCGGCCCCUGGCGUGGUCA
This is a non-coding RNA of Delphinella strobiligena, 83 nucleotides long. Lineage: Eukaryota; Fungi; Ascomycota; Dothideomycetes; Dothideales; Dothioraceae. The record is from the annotation of a GenBank genome assembly.